AUUGAACGCUGGCGGCAGGCCUAACACAUGCAAGUCGAGCGGAUGAAGGGAGCUUGCUCCUGGAUUCAGCGGCGGACGGGUGAGUAAUGCCUAGGAAUCUGCCUGGUAGUGGGGGAUAACGUCCGGAAACGGGCGCUAAUACCGCAUACGUCCUGAGGGAGAAAGUGGGGGAUCUUCGGACCUCACGCUAUCAGAUGAGCCUAGGUCAGAUUAGCUAGUUGGUGGGGUAAAGGCCUACCAAGGCGACGACCCGUAACUGGUCUGAGAGGAUGAUCAGUCACACUGGAACUGAGACACGGUCCAGACUCCUACGGGAGGCAGCAGUGGGGAAUAUUGGACAAUGGGCGAAAGCCUGAUCCAGCCAUGCCGCGUGUGUGAAGAAGGUCUUCGGAUUGUAAAGCACUUUAAGUUGGGAGGAAGGGCAGUAAGUUAAUACCUUGCUGUUUUGACGUUACCAACAGAAUAAGCACCGGCUAACUUCGUG
This 484-nucleotide ribosomal RNA is filed under the name uncultured bacterium. RNAcentral describes it as "partial 16S ribosomal RNA". It matches the Rfam family "Bacterial small subunit ribosomal RNA", at positions 30 to 507 of the family's 1533-position model. The record is from RNAcentral.